RNAcentral lists this ribosomal RNA (498 nucleotides) under uncultured bacterium. RNAcentral describes it as "partial 16S ribosomal RNA". It matches the Rfam family "Bacterial small subunit ribosomal RNA", at positions 28 to 523 of the family's 1533-position model. The record is from RNAcentral.
GAUGAACGCUAGCGGCAGGCCUAAUACAUGCAAGUCGAACGAUACCAAGGGGCUUGCUCCUUGGAAAAGUGGCGCACGGGUGCGUAACGCGUAUGCAACCUACCUUUAUCAGGGGGAUAGCCCGGAGAAAUCCGGAUUAAUACCGCAUAAAAUCACAGGAUGGCAUUAUCCAAUGAUCAAACAUUUAUGGGAUAAAGAUGGGCAUGCGCGUCAUUAGCUAGUUGGCGGGGUAACGGCCCACCAAGGCGACGAUGACUAGGGGAUCUGAGGGGAUGGCCCCCCACACUGGUACUGAGACACGGACCAGACUCCUACGGGAGGCAGCAGUAAGGAAUAUUGGUCAAUGGGCGGAAGCCUGAAUCAGCCAUGCCGCGUGCAGGAAGACUGCCCUAUGGGUUAUAAACUGCUUUUAUCCGGGAAUAAACCUACUUACGUGUAAGUAGCUGAAUGUACCGGAAGAAUAAGGAUCGGCUAACUCCGUGCCAGCAGCCGCCGUAA